CAGUAGCCGCGGUAAUACGUAGGUGGCAAGCGUUGUCCGGAAUUAUUGGGCGUAAAGGGCUCGCAGGCGGUUUCUUAAGUCUGAUGUGAAAGCCCCCGGCUCAACCGGGGAGGGUCAUUGGAAACUGGGAAACUUGAGUGCAGAGGAGGGGAGUGGAAUUCCACGUGUAGCGGUGAAAUGCGUAGAGAUGUGGAGGAACACCAGUGGCGAAGGCGACUCUCUGGUCUGUAACUGACGCUGAGGAGCGAAAGCGUGGGGAGCGAACAGGAUUAGAUACCCCUGUAGUCCCUGUCUCUUAUAA
This 301-nucleotide ribosomal RNA is filed under the name uncultured bacterium. RNAcentral describes it as "partial 16S ribosomal RNA". It matches the Rfam family "Bacterial small subunit ribosomal RNA", at positions 509 to 809 of the family's 1533-position model. The record is from RNAcentral.